Molecule: ribosomal RNA, 227 nt
Filed under: uncultured bacterium
Lineage: Bacteria
Description: partial 16S ribosomal RNA
Rfam family: Bacterial small subunit ribosomal RNA
Source: RNAcentral
AGCGAACGCUGGCGGCAUGCUUAACACAUGCAAGUCGCACGGUCGGGUUUCGGCCCGGCAGUGGCGGACGGGUGAGUAACGCGUAGGUAUCUAUCCUUGGAUGGGGGACGAACCGUGGGAACUACGGCUAAUACCGCAUGACGACCGAGGUCCAAAGGACCGCGAGGCCGUCUGGGGAGGAGCCUGCGUCCGAUUAGCUAGUUGGUGGGGUAACGGCCUACCAAGGC